This 446-nucleotide ribosomal RNA is filed under the name uncultured bacterium. RNAcentral describes it as "partial 16S ribosomal RNA". It matches the Rfam family "Bacterial small subunit ribosomal RNA", at positions 331 to 792 of the family's 1533-position model. The record is from RNAcentral.
CCAGACUCCUACGGGAGGCAGCAGUGGGGAAUAUUGGGCAAUGGAGGCAACUCUGACCCAGCAAUGCCGCGUGAGUGAUGAAGGUAAUUUUAUUGUAAAGCUCUUUUCUUUGGAACGAAUAAAUGACGGUACCAAAGGAAUAAGCCCCGGCUAACUACGUGCCAGCAGCCGCGGUAAUACGGGGGGUGCAAGCGUUGUCCGGAAUCAUUGGGCGUAAAGAGUUCGUAGGUGGCACGUUAAGUCUGGUGUUAAAGGCGGAAGCUCAACUUCCGUAGGGCACUGGAUACUGGCGAGCUUGAAUGCGGUAGAGGUAAAGGGAAUUCCUGGUGUAGCGGUGAAAUGCGUAGAUAUCAGGAGGAACAUCGGUGGCGUAAGCGCUUUACUGGGCCGUAAUUGACACUGAGGAACGAAAGCCGGGGUAGCAAAUGGGAUUAGAUACCCGAGUA